AGUGAACGCUGGCGGUAGGCCUAACACAUGCAAGUCGAACGGCAGCACAGUAAGAGCUUGCUCUUACGGGUGGCGAGUGGCGGACGGGUGAGGAAUACAUCGGAAUCUACUUUUUCGUGGGGGAUAACGUAGGGAAACUUACGCUAAUACCGCAUACGACCUACGGGUGAAAGCAGGGGAUCUUCGGACCUUGCGCGAUAGAAUGAGCCGAUGUCGGAUUAGCUAGUUGGCGGGGUAAAGGCACACCAAGGCGACGAUCCGUAGCUGGUCUGAGAGGAUGGUCAGCCACACUGGAACUGAGACACGGUCCAGACUCCUACGGGAGGCAGCAGUGGGGACUAUUGGACAAUGGGCGAAAGCCUGAUCCAGCCAUACCGCGUGGGUGAAGAAGGCCUUCGGGUUGUAAAGCCCUUUUGUUGGGAAAGAAAAGCAGCAGGUUAAUACCCCGCUGUUCUGACGGUACCCAAAGAAUAAGCACCGGCUAACUUCGUG
This 492-nucleotide ribosomal RNA is filed under the name uncultured bacterium. Its description in RNAcentral is "partial 16S ribosomal RNA". It matches the Rfam family "Bacterial small subunit ribosomal RNA", at positions 29 to 507 of the family's 1533-position model. The record is from RNAcentral.